AAAAAAAAAAGCUUAUAUAGCCUUAUAAAUGUUAGCAUAUGUUUUAAAGCUUUCUGUUCAUGUUCAGGAUUAUAUUAUUUACAUUUUUCCAUCUGUUGUUCUCCAAUGUGGUCAGUUGGCAGUUCCCUCAUACAAGCCAGCUCUUCCCUAUCAUACAACUGCUAACAACUGUAGAGGAUGAAAGCUAACACGUGCUUCCUCCGAGACACGUGAACCAGCCAAUAGCAUCUUUUUGACCUGAUAAUCGUGCUGCGUCUCAGGGUGGCUCAACACACUCAGAGAAAAGUGCUAUCCGCCCACUUCCACAUACAUGAACUCACAGACACCUGGGAUUGGCUAGUGUCUCUGUGAUUGGCAUGAAGACAGAGAUUGUAUCUGUGUGUCUAGCUGGAAUCGAGGACUCAGGAUGUAUGCCAGUGUCGUACGUCUGCACAUUGUGACCUUCAUGCUAAGCGAGAAGAGCAGACGGGUGCAGUUUACCGCCCAGUCUCUCGGGAUAACUUUUAUGAGCUUCUGCACAGAAAGGGUGCACACAGCUUCUGCCCAAGGUCCUUUUUAUCUACGAUUAUACACUUAAUCCUCCUUCCUCAUGCUUGAGUUUAUUAACUACUAAAAAUUUAACGGUUGCACCAAGUAAUAUAAUUCCAACAUAGCCUUACACUAUUAUAAUGUAACAUUUAUGUCUACCUCCUAGCAUCUGGUGUAAAUAACACCAGAGUAAAAGAUGUUUACGGACUAUGAAUUAAUUUUGCUGUUAUUUUGUUUUUCACAUGGGAAGCUUUCGUGCUGUGAUCAUCGGACGACCACCGCACUGAAAUACAUUAAGUAUAAUGGCACAAAUAAACAGGAGGGAACAUAAUAUGAUGUAGAAAUCGUCCAUUUUUACAUCAGACAGCCUAAAGAGGUCUUUCCUAGGCUAGGGAAUAUUAUUAGCAAGGUCACGAGUAAUUUGAAAUUCUUUACUAUUAAUAUUAAUAUAAUGUCAUAUUUGGUAUAUCAAUCAGAGUAUUCAAAUAAAAAGUUUGCAGCCGCCUUGUUAGUUUUCUGCGUUAUGGUUUGUUAUUUUUGUUCAG
Ictalurus punctatus (channel catfish) is the source of this 1073-nucleotide long non-coding RNA. Lineage: Eukaryota; Metazoa; Chordata; Actinopteri; Siluriformes; Ictaluridae. The record is from Ensembl.